Long non-coding RNA from Melitaea cinxia (Glanville fritillary), 145 nucleotides. RefSeq lists it as uncharacterized. The transcript is spliced from 2 exons. The record is from RefSeq and is a predicted model, not a curated record. Lineage: Eukaryota; Metazoa; Arthropoda; Insecta; Lepidoptera; Nymphalidae.
UGCUCCGUGCUUUUAUUUACGACUAGUUAAGACUAAUUAAAUUGAGCUAUUUGGUAUAAAACAAAUAUGGUUGUUUGACAGUCAGUAGAUGUAUAACGUCGAAGUAUGAAUGAAAUUAUUUUCUUUCGAACGAAUUAGUGAAUGA